AGUGAACGCUGGCGGUAGGCCUAACACAUGCAAGUCGAACGGCAGCACAGUAAGAGCUUGCUCUUACGGGUGGCGAGUGGCGGACGGGUGAGGAAUACAUCGGAAUCUACUUUUUCGUGGGGGAUAACGUAGGGAAACUUACGCUAAUACCGCAUACGACCUACGGGUGAAAGCAGGGGAUCUUCGCACCUUGCGCGAUUGAAUGAGCCGGUGUCGGAUUAGCUAGUUGGCGGGGUAAAGGCCCACCAAGGCGACGAUCCGUAGCUGGUCUGAGAGGAUGAUCAGCCACACUGGAACUGAGACACGGUCCAGACUCCUACGGGAGGCAGCAGUGGGGAAUAUUGGACAAUGGGCGCAAGCCUGAUCCAGCCAUACCGCGUGAGUGAAGAAGGCCUUCGGGUUGUAAAGCCCUUUUGUUGGGAAAGAAAAGCAGCAGGUGAAUACCCCGCUGUUCUGACGGUACCCAAAGAAUAAGCACCGGCUAACUUCGUG
Molecule: ribosomal RNA, 492 nt
Filed under: uncultured bacterium
Lineage: Bacteria
Description: partial 16S ribosomal RNA
Rfam family: Bacterial small subunit ribosomal RNA
Source: RNAcentral